GUCAGAGGAGAGAUAAGGUCUCCUUAACCCAGAGUUCCUUAUCUUUGGCAAGUGCAGACUUCCAUGACUUCCGUGGACUGAGGCGUCUGGGGUGUGACUUGGCUGUUUCUACCCUCUGGUGGCCUUCCUGGACACACCCGAGUCACCCUAGUCAGCUUCUGGUGCUGCCCACCCACCUGUGCCUACUCCUUCUCUCCCAUCCUUAAGCACAAGAUGAAGGACCCUUGGAUCCAGAGAAGCAGCCAUCACAACAGCAGUGCCAACGUCUCUGCAGGGCUUAAACAAAGCCACAUCCAAGCUCUGGUGUAAAUGUCUUAGAAAGACUUGUAAACCAGAACAGGAAUUCAGAUAAUCUACCAGCUCAGCGUGCUUUCAUGGACUUGUGAAGUUUGGAAAGACGUGUGUAUGACCACAGCCCCAAAGAGCCAAGCAAGGUGAGUGGAGGUUGCUCUGUUUCCAAACACCACGUCUGCACCUAAGAAAAAUGUAAGCUGGUUUAAUUGUCAGGAUCUCAUGUACUCUGAUCCCGCCUACAGUGGAUCCUCUCCCCAGAACUCAGAACCCUAAGCUCUUUCUCCAGAAACUGCUGGGAGGGGCCCCUGGAUAUUCCUUGGGGAUGGAAGGCCAGCAUGGC
RNAcentral lists this long non-coding RNA (634 nucleotides) under Saimiri boliviensis boliviensis (Bolivian squirrel monkey). Its description in RNAcentral is "lncRNA (ENSSBOG00000036464.1)". The record is from RNAcentral. Lineage: Eukaryota; Metazoa; Chordata; Mammalia; Primates; Cebidae.